RNAcentral lists this ribosomal RNA (254 nucleotides) under uncultured bacterium. RNAcentral's name for it is "partial 16S ribosomal RNA". It matches the Rfam family "Bacterial small subunit ribosomal RNA", at positions 524 to 776 of the family's 1533-position model. The record is from RNAcentral.
UACGUAGGGGGCGAGCGUUAUUCGGAUUUACUGGGCGUAAAGCGCGUGUAGGCGGCUGGUUAAGCGUGAUGUGAAAUCUCCGGGCUCAACCCGGAAACUGCAUUGCGAACUGGCCUGGCUGGAGUGCAGGAGAGGGUAGUGGAAUUCCCGGUGUAGCGGUGAAAUGCGUAGAUAUCAGGAGGAACACCCGUAGCGAAGGCGGCACUCUGGGCCGGAACUGACGCUGAGGAGCGAAAGCGUGGGGAGCGAACAGG